AACUUUCAACAACGGAUCUCUUGGUUCUCGCAUCGAUGAAGAACGCAGCGAAUUGCGAUAUGUAAUGUGAAUUGCAGAAUUCAGUGAAUCAUCGAAUCUCUGAACGCACCUUGCGCCCUUUGGUAUUCCGAAGGGCAUGCCUGUUUGAGUGUCAUUAAAUUCUCAACUUCAAAACUUUUUGUAUUGAAGCUUGGAUGUUGGAGGGUUUGCAGGCAUAUUAAUGUCAGCUCCUCUUAAAUGCAUUAGCAGAACUUGUUACGUUCGGCUCUGGUUUGAUAAUCCUAUCUAUGCCAUUGCUGAAAUGUCAUUGUUCAGCUUCUAAUGGUCCAUGUAUUUGGACUGUCUCCUUGGAGGCAUAUUUUUUGACUUGACCUCAAAUCAGGUAGGACUACCCGCUGAACUUAAGCAUAUCAAUAAGCGGAGGCU
This 426-nucleotide unclassified non-coding RNA is filed under the name uncultured Clavulinopsis. RNAcentral describes it as "sequence contains ITS2". The stretch from base 1 to 154 matches the Rfam family "5.8S ribosomal RNA". Lineage: Eukaryota; Fungi; Basidiomycota; Agaricomycetes; Agaricales; Clavariaceae. The record is from RNAcentral.